RNAcentral lists this non-coding RNA (281 nucleotides) under Hypsibius dujardini. Its description in RNAcentral is "Microsporidia small subunit ribosomal RNA". It matches the Rfam family "Eukaryotic small subunit ribosomal RNA", at positions 807 to 1080 of the family's 1831-position model. The record is from Rfam by way of RNAcentral. Lineage: Eukaryota; Metazoa; Tardigrada; Eutardigrada; Parachela; Hypsibiidae.
GCUUUGCAUUGAGAGCAGACUGUGUGACCUAAAAGGCGAAAAAAUGGGAGCACGCUGUAAGGAUAAAUAGGAACAGACAGGGGCAUUCGUAUUGCGGCGUUAGAUGUGCAAUUCUUGAAUCAUCAUCGCAAGACGCGCUCCUGCGAAAGCAUUUGCCAAGAAUGAUUUCAUCAAUCAAGAACGAAAGUUGGAGGCUCGAAGGCAAUCAGAUAUCGCUCUGGUUCUAACCGUAAACGAUGCCCACAGCACAAGUGCCCACAAGUUCAGCACAAAUUUUGGCU